GUGUAUAUUGAGAAGAGAUGGAAAACUAAUGUCCUGCCUUGGCAAAGCCUUCCCAAAUGCUACUAGAACUAGUAGCAAGACAAGCUGUGGAUUUGACAACAGAAGCCACAAACGGAUAGCAUAUUCAUAUCCAAGGACAAAGGCCCACAUCCUUCAACUCACUGACUUCCAUGGGACUCCACCAGAUGCAGCAAAUUGCAGGACGAGGAAUAAGUGAAGACAUUGGGGACACACUCUGUAGUAGCUGUAAAGCAAGAUGGAUCUAACAUGCCUGACUUCAAAUCAUACAGGGAGAUGAGCUGUAGGCCUGGGAAAUUUGAACACUUGAAAUAAAG
Molecule: long non-coding RNA, 335 nt
Organism: Mauremys reevesii (Reeves's turtle)
Lineage: Eukaryota; Metazoa; Chordata; Testudines; Geoemydidae
Exons: 3
Source: RefSeq, a predicted model, not a curated record